CUCUCUCUCUCUCUCUCCUUUUUCCUGAUUAAUAAAUUUUAAUUAAUUUCAUAAAAGAGGCGAAGCUUACCCCUUGACUAGUUCCUUGCCAAGAUUAUAAAUCAAUUACUACAAAUUGACUAAAAAAUAUCUAAAAUAUUCAGUGAAAAUUGUGUCUAACCAAACAAAUUAGCAAAUUGUGGAUGUAAUGAGUUUUAUGAUGAUCAGCCAAAGGAGGUCGACCAGGUUCAUUCUUUCCAAUCCCAGUUGCAAUUAAUUUGGUCCCAUAAUUAAAUAUGGAAAAAAAUCAUAUUAAAAAAAAUCACCAUCAUCGUGGUCGUCGUACAUUCAAAUAGGUGUGUAUAAUUGGUACUGAUUCCUGAGCAGGGUCAAACUCCAAGGGGCUGAAGAGAAUGGCUAACAACGCAGCCAAUCCUGCCCUGGAUCCCGAUCUAGAUCAACCCGAUAAUCCUAGUCACGAGUUUGCUGAGUUCGGAGCAGGGUGUUUCUGGGGGGUGGAGCUGGGGUUUCAGCGAGUGGUUGGGGUGGUGAAGACGGAGGUCGGAUACUCUCAAGGUCACGUCCACGAUCCUAAUUACAAACUCGUUUGCACCGGCGCUACUAACCACGUCGAGGUCGUGCGCGUCCAAUUUGACCCUGAAGUUUGCCCAUAUACCAACCUCCUCUCUCUUUUCUGGGCUUGCCACGAUCCCACAAGCCUCAAUCGCCAGGGUGGUGAUGUGGGUGCCCAGUAUAGGUCGGGAAUAUACUACUACAACGAGACGCAAGCUCUUCUAGCCCAAGAAUCAAAGGAAGCUAAGCAGUUGGAAUUGAAGGACAAGAAGAUUGUCACUGAAAUUCUGCCAGCAAAAAGAUUUUACAGAGCUGAGGAGUACCACCAGCGGUAUCUGGAAAAGGGAGGACGUAAGGGAGCCAAGCAGUCUGCUGAGAAGGGUUGCACUGACCCCAUAAGAUGUUAUGGUUAAAAGCUGUAAAAGUAUGCCAAGUGUGAAAUUGUGGCUUCGUACUUGUUGAAAAUUGGCAGCAUUUUUCUGUAAUAUUUGUCUAUGCAUCUGAUGUUUCUCAUGGCAUCUUAGUGAUAAUAAGCUGCCCUAUUUUUUCUGCGUUUCCUUUCUCUGUUUCCUCUCCUGUUCAUUUAUUAAUACUUGUGAGCCGUGGCAUUUGAAAAUUUCUUGAGAACUUGGAUGUUCUGCUUGGCAGGAGGUCAAUUGCAAUGGAAUUUUGUGGACACUUGGUAAUCACAUGCAGUAGAAAUGAUCUUGAAAGAUUUAUUCGUUACUAAACGGGAAACAGUGUUCAAUUGAUACAUCAUCAGUGAAUCUUUGUGUCACUAAAAUUAUUCAAUCAAAGAAACAUGAGGCUGAACUGUUAGUAGAAGUCCAUGGCAGCAUAUAGUUUAGAGUUCAUCCUUGGGAGAAGAUGUAACUCCUGUAGGACUUUUUGAGGUGUUCUUGAUGGGAUACGAGGCCUCCAUCGCUAUACCACAGAGUCCCUCUUUCUCUGAGGUGCCACGCUGCAUCCUUAUGUAACCCUUCUCUCCCCAUUCUGGUCCCCAGGAAUUCUUCACAAUCCAGUACUUGGUUCCAUCAAGAGUUGUUCCAUAACCCACGAUUGUGACUCCAUGAUCCAGCUCUGUUCCACAACUUCCAGUAAAUACCCCCUGCGGUCAUACUCAGCCAAAUUAAGAGAGGAUCUAACUGUUCUCUACCAUCAAAACAAUUAUAUUCUGAAAAUUUUUCACACAUGACACUACCAAUUAAUUAGUCCAGCUAUUGGUGAUUGCUCAAUUUGGUUUGCGUUAAAGUGAGUUAAACAACUUGUAAAAUGUUUAGUUUAGACGAAUAAUAAAGUUCCCCUCUGAGUAGAACUGGAAAUCUGAACCUCCAGCAUCAAUGGCCACAGAUACAGGCUGGUUUGCCACUACUUUAAGUAAUGCAUUCUCAUUAUUUACAGGAACCUUCUCAUACCCAUCAAUAGAGACUGCAGGUGCAUUCUCCUGGAAUUGUUGCAAUUGUAAUUAAGCAAUAAUAUUGUAACGGCAGCAAUUUGUUACCUCAACUAAAUGUAGUUCAAAGUAAAUGGAAAAUGGAUAUCAACCUUUGAAACAUCACAAGUUCCAUCCUCAGCUUUGUAAGGGUAAUUAGCCUCAGUUGUUAUGCCUUCUUGUUUCUUAAUGAACUCAAAUGCAUAAUCCAUAAGCCCUCCAUUGCAUCCUUGGUUCUCAUCAAUGUCACAAUCCACCAACUCUUGCUCGGACAAAGACACUAGCUUAUAGUCUUGAUUUGAUUAAUACCCUCAACUGCUGCGAUGGUUGAAAAUGCCCAGCAACUACCUCAUUGGCCUUGGUCCUUAACACCAGUGACCGCACCUUUCUUUCUCCAAUCAACGGAUGGCGGGACUCUUUCCAACUUCUCAUACAUGAAGCUUCCAUUUCCCUGUGGUGCCCCUUGAAACAUCAGAUGAUGAUUAAUCUUUGAGCCAGCAUAAGUGCUCCUAAAUUCAUAGCUGGUCAUGUCUGCAAACUUGUUCAGCUUCAACUUAUAAGGCUUAUCCAGCUUGUUAGUGUUGUGAACGUGCAUGACAUUGUGCUUGAAAACAUUAAAACGCUUGUGUUUCUCAUGAAGACUCCUAGAAACAGUAUAAUGGCUUCUCCACCUCUCGUACAAAUCCUGCAAACUUUCCUCAGAUGACAAAUCAUUUUCAUGGAAAUCAAAACUCUCUGCAAUUCCUAGAACCAAAGCCAACGAGAGAGCUGCAAGUGGAAACCUCUUCAUUGACAUUUUGCU
This 2786-nucleotide unclassified non-coding RNA is filed under the name Hevea brasiliensis (rubber tree). Lineage: Eukaryota; Viridiplantae; Streptophyta; Magnoliopsida; Malpighiales; Euphorbiaceae. The record is from RNAcentral.